UCUUACCAGGCCCCUUGUAAGCUAAAUUCCCCUUUGCCAGUACUUGUUAAUCUCCCCUGUUAUGGUUAGAUUGUGUUCCCCCAAAAGAUAUGUUAAUGCCCUUGCCCCCUGUACUCAUGAAUGUGAGUGACUCUGUUGGAAAUAAGAUCUCUGCAGAUGUAAUCAAGUUAAGAUGAGGUUGUACUGGAUUAGGGAUUCUUAAUUUGCAAGCAACAGAAACCAACUCUAGUUUAAUCAGGAAGGAAAUUGAUUUAAAGGAUGCUGGAUAAAUCGAGAAGAAAAUAUCUCAAAGGGUCAGAAAGCCGAGCCAAGAAUUUACACAGCCAGAAACAUCAAGAACACCAUGGACCUCAGAGCUUGUGUCCCGAAUGCCACCACCAAUGGGUUGGAAAAAUUGAUGCAGCCAGGAGCGAGAGGUGCUCCGAUGGCUUGAAUGAAAGUACUGUGGGAUCCCGUUACCAGAAAACAUCCAGAAAGAGUUCAGUGCUGAGCUUGUGACAGCAGAGGGAGAAGCAGAGGAGGAAGAGCCACAUGUGGCCAGUGUUUCCCAGUGCUUAACAACCUCUAUGGCCUUCCAUCAACUCACUUUUGAGCAAAAGGAUUUACCUUCAUGGGCCCAUCUUCUGUGCCUCGUUUUCCCUUUUGAGUUUAUUACCUGGAUAUAAUUCCGUGUGUGUCUGAGCCCUAAUUAUUUUCAAUAAUCA
Suricata suricatta (meerkat) is the source of this 704-nucleotide long non-coding RNA. RefSeq lists it as uncharacterized. Lineage: Eukaryota; Metazoa; Chordata; Mammalia; Carnivora; Herpestidae. The record is from RefSeq and is a predicted model, not a curated record. The transcript has 3 exons.